This 1344-nucleotide ribosomal RNA is filed under the name uncultured bacterium. Its description in RNAcentral is "16S ribosomal RNA". It matches the Rfam family "Bacterial small subunit ribosomal RNA", at positions 28 to 1378 of the family's 1533-position model. The record is from RNAcentral.
GACGAACGCUGUCGGCGUGCUUAACACAUGCAAGUCGAACGGAAAGGCCCUGCUUUUGUGGGGUGCUCGAGUGGCGAACGGGUGAGUAACACGUGAGUAACCUGCCCUUGACUUUGGGAUAACUUCAGGAAACUGGGGCUAAUACCGGAUAGGAGCUCCUGCUGCAUGGUGGGGGUUGGAAAGUUUCGGCGGUUGGGGAUGGACUCGCGGCUUAUCAGCUUGUUGGUGGGGUAGUGGCUUACCAAGGCUUUGACGGGUAGCCGGCCUGAGAGGGUGACCGGCCACAUUGGGACUGAGAUACGGCCCAGACUCCUACGGGAGGCAGCAGUGGGGAAUAUUGCACAAUGGGCGGAAGCCUGAUGCAGCAACGCCGCGUGCGGGAUGACGGCCUUCGGGUUGUAAACCGCUUUCGCCUGUGACGAAGCGUGAGUGACGGUAAUGGGUAAAGAAGCACCGGCUAACUACGUGCCAGCAGCCGCGGUGAUACGUAGGGUGCGAGCGUUGUCCGGAUUUAUUGGGCGUAAAGGGCUCGUAGGUGGUUGAUCGCGUCGGAAGUGUAAUCUUGGGGCUUAACCCUGAGCGUGCUUUCGAUACGGGUUGACUUGAGGAAGGUAGGGGGAGAAUGGAAUUCCUGGUGGAGCGGUGGAAUGCGCAGAUAUCAGGAGGAACACCAGUGGCGAAGGCGGUUCUCUGGGCCUUUCCUGACGCUGAGGAGCGAAAGCGUGGGGAGCGAACAGGCUUAGAUACCCUGGUAGUCCACGCUGUAAACGGUGGGUACUAGGUGUGGGGUCCAUUCCACGGGUUCCGUGCCGUAGCUAACGCUUUAAGUACCCCGCCUGGGGAGUACGGCCGCAAGGCUAAAACUCAAAGGAAUUGACGGGGCCCCGCACAAGCGGCGGAGCAUGCGGAUUAAUUCGAUGCAACGCGUAGAACCUUACCUGGGUUUGACAUGGAUCGGGAGUGCUCAGAGAUGGGUGUGCCUCUUUUGGGGUCGGUUCACAGGUGGUGCAUGCCUGUCGUCAGCUCGUGUCGUGAGAUGUUGGGUUAAGUCCCGCAACGAGCGCAACCCUUGUUCACUGUUGCCAGCACGUUAUGGUGGGGACUCAGUGGAGACCGCCGGGGUCAACUCGGAGGAAGGUGGGGAUGACGUCAAGUCAUCAUGCCCCUUAUGUCCAGGGCUUCACGCAUGCUACAAUGGCUGGUACAGAGAGUGGCGAGCCUGUGAGGGUGAGCGAAUCUCGGAAAGCCGGUCUCAGUUCGGAUUGGGGUCUGCAACUCGACCUCAUGAAGUCGGAGUCGCUAGUAAUCGCAGAUCAGCAACGCUGCGGUGAAUACGUUCCCGGG